RNAcentral lists this unclassified non-coding RNA (470 nucleotides) under Hevea brasiliensis (rubber tree). Lineage: Eukaryota; Viridiplantae; Streptophyta; Magnoliopsida; Malpighiales; Euphorbiaceae. The record is from RNAcentral.
ACAAAAAUCUGCCCAAUAAUAAUGUUACUGAUAUUACAGCGUUUUAUAUUAUUCAACACAACACAAAUAUGCAAGGAAGCAAUUACCCAAUCUUGCUACACCUCCCAUACAAGGGCAAACUGGUGAGACAGCAGGAAAAUGAGGAAACAAUGAGCUUGCUUAUACCAAGUUAAAACCAAAUGGAGGAGAAGUUCCCGCUGAAACACAGUUCUUGCUGCAUUUGCUUAUGGUUUCCACAGGAUUGUGGUUUCUGCAAUCAUGGAAGUCACAACAUAUGGAUCCAUGUUUGAUGCAGGCCUCCUGUCCUCAAAAUAUCCUUUUCCUUGCUUCUCUGUGUCUCGGCCAACACGAAUUGAGGCUCCACGGUUAGCAACACCCCAUAAGAAAGUGUUGAUGUCAGCUGUUUCGUGUCGUCCAGUUAGCCUGCGUUCAUUCCCUUCCCCAUAUGCAGCAAUGUGUUCUUUGUGCCU